GACGAACGCUGGCGGCGUGCUUAACACAUGCAAGUCGAACGGAAAGGCCCUGCUUUUGUGGGGUGCUCGAGUGGCGAACGGGUGAGUAACACGUGAGUAACCUGCCCUUGACUUUGGGAUAACUUCAGGAAACUGGGGCUAAUACCGGAUAGGAGCUCCUGCUGCAUGGUGGGGGUUGGAAAGUUUCGGCGGUUGGGGAUGGACUCGCGGCUUAUCAGCUUGUUGGUGGGGUAGUGGCUUACGAAGGCUUUGACGGGUAGCCGGCCUGAGAGGGUGACCGGCCACAUUGGGACUGAGAUACGGCCCAGACUCCUACGGGAGGCAGCAGUGGGGAAUAUGGCACAAUGGGCGGAAGCCUGAUGCAGCAACGCCGCGUGCGGGAUGACGGCCUUCGGGUUGUAAACCGCUUUCGCCUGUGACGAAGCGUGAGUGACGGUAAUGGGUAAAGAAGCACCGGCUAACUACGUG
Molecule: ribosomal RNA, 468 nt
Filed under: uncultured bacterium
Lineage: Bacteria
Description: partial 16S ribosomal RNA
Rfam family: Bacterial small subunit ribosomal RNA
Source: RNAcentral